Long non-coding RNA from Canis lupus familiaris (dog), 1519 nucleotides. RefSeq lists it as uncharacterized. The transcript has 5 exons. The record is from RefSeq and is a predicted model, not a curated record. NCBI's taxonomy places the organism in Eukaryota, Metazoa, Chordata, Mammalia, Carnivora, Canidae.
CGACGGCCGGGCCGUGUGGGCGCCGCCUCCCCGGUGCGGCGGGAGCGAGCAGCGGCGGGACGCGCCAGGUCCACGCGGAUGUCACCAGGUGAGCAAGCGAGGCAGUGCUGGACUCUGAGCUGCACGGGAGCUCCGUUACCAGUGGACAACCAAGGUCUGAAGCCUACAGAUGGUUAUUCUGAUGACUCUUUGGAAGGCCAGUAGUAUCCCUAGUUUUACAUCACAGUUACUCACGCACCUAACCUCCCAUGAGCUCAUCACAUAGGUACUUUAGCAUUUCAUAUACUCACAAGAAGAAAGACCACAUGGAAGUUGUUUCCUGAGUAAAGCCAUGAAGAGUCCCUCAUUUGAAAACUUUAAACUUCAACCAAGAGCUGGCUGAGGUGAAACUCCAGACCUCUGAGGAGAGUUCGAAGGAAUCAGCAAUCUUGUUGACUUAAUGCAGCACAAUCAAUGAGAUGCAAUCUCACCAAUGGGCUGGACAAGGUCAGGGAUGAUAAAAGUGUGACAAAGAAAGGAUGUGGGAGACCAUAGGAAAGAAGCAGGUCAUUUCAAGGGAACAAAGGCAAAUUAAAAAAUCUGUCCAAUUUAUUGUUCCUUAAAUGACUUGGCUUUAAAAUCUGCCUGUGCACCAUAUAUAAACUAAUGUGCAUAAGGACGGAUGAAGCCACAGGAAUAGCAAAGUAUGUGUGCAGGGACCCUGUCCUCAUGAUUAUGAAGAUAAAAGUGUGAGAAUAGGAAUGGAGGGAGAGCUGGGGUAGAGGUGAAGGGUGCAGAGAGACAGAGAGAUUAUCUGUAUGUACUUGAAGACCUAUUAUAUGGAAGAAUAAAUAAAUAACCCCUGCUUUGUAGAACUAGGGACAUUCCAAUUAAUAGUAUGUUUAAAAAAUGCAAAAAAAAAAAAACCUAAUUUGACCUGUCUAAAAAUAGAGUGAAUUAUUAUAUCUUAGGAGAAAAGUCGUUGUUGUUUAAUUUACUAAAAGCAUUAAUGUGGGGUCUGUGUACACAACAGGAACAUUAAAAAUGAAGUUAUUUCACUAAGGAGAAGUUUUGAAAGGCCUUAGAAGUUUUUUCCCAACUGUAGGAUGUUGUACUCUUGUGGUUAUAUCUCCCUCAAGAUUAUUUAGUUUUUGAACAAUAAUCCUAUCAUAUGCAGCACAGCUGGGAAUUUUUAAUAGUUCUAUUUCAGGUCAUUUUCAAAUGUUUUUCUUAUUAGGAGUGUGUCUAGACCCCCAUGAAACACAGCAGCAUUCUUAAUAUGGUCCUAAGGCAUAUCCAGGAUGGUGUUAAAUUGAGAAUAAAACAUAUGCAAAUGAAUUGUGUUAAUUUGACCAACAUCUUGAAUAGUGUGAUGACCAUGCAUAUAUAUUUCUCUAAUUCAUUAAAGUUGGUAUAAUCAUUUUUUCUAGGACAAUAUUAAUUUUACUAGGCUUGAAAAGUUGUUGAAUUCACUUUGGAAGCCAAACAUAGCUGCAGAAAAUAUGAAAACAUUAAGGCUAAUAAAAUCUGGUAUAACUUA